RNAcentral lists this ribosomal RNA (467 nucleotides) under uncultured bacterium. Its description in RNAcentral is "partial 16S ribosomal RNA". It matches the Rfam family "Bacterial small subunit ribosomal RNA", at positions 28 to 507 of the family's 1533-position model. The record is from RNAcentral.
GACGAACGCUGGCGGCGUGCUUAACACAUGCAAGUCGAACGGAAAGGCCUCUUUCGGGGGGUACUCGAGUGGCGAACGGGUGAGUAACACGUGAGUAACCUGCCCCUGACUUUGGGAUAACUUCAGGAAACUGGGGCUAAUACCGGAUAGGAGCUCCUGCUGCACGGUGGGGGUUGGAAAGAUUGGGGGGGUGGGGAUGGACUCGCGGCUUAUCAGCUUGUUGGUGGGGUAGUGGCUUACCAAGGCUUUGACGGGUAGACGGCCUGGGAGGGGGAGCGGCCACAUUGGGACUGAGAUACGGCCCAGACUCCUACGGGGGGCAGCAGUGGGGAAUAUUGCACAAUGGGUGGGAGCCGGAUGCAGCAACGCCGUGUGCGGGAGGACGGCCUUCGGGUUGUAAACCGCUUUCGCUCAUGACGAAGCUUUGCGUGACGGUAGUGGGUAAAGAAGCACCGGCUAACUACGUG